GCGAAGGCCAAGAGCAGCUGCAAAAUCAAAGACAAAGAACAAGCUCGUCAAAACUCGUUUGAUCGAUCGAGGUAAGAGAUUUUCGUAUUCUUCUCACCUUUCUAUAGUCACCACUUGUGUCUGAUUGAAUGUCUUUGUCCAGGGAGCGAUGAUACUUGGUUUGAUAUGCCUGGCGUAUGUAGUAGAGCUGCGAGGGAGUUCUCGAGCAGAUGAUCUCGAUCAGCGUCUUAUCUUUGGUACCCAGUCCUUUCAUCGCAUCUCUGAGUAACACCGCGUCCCUUUCAGCUGGCUCCAUCAUCCACAGCAGCACUGCUUGCUGGAAG
RNAcentral lists this long non-coding RNA (323 nucleotides) under Selaginella moellendorffii. Its description in RNAcentral is "long non-coding RNA (SMOE_LNC000311)". The record is from RNAcentral. Lineage: Eukaryota; Viridiplantae; Streptophyta; Lycopodiopsida; Selaginellales; Selaginellaceae.